RNAcentral lists this ribosomal RNA (253 nucleotides) under uncultured bacterium. RNAcentral's name for it is "partial 16S ribosomal RNA". It matches the Rfam family "Bacterial small subunit ribosomal RNA", at positions 524 to 776 of the family's 1533-position model. The record is from RNAcentral.
UACGUGGGGGGCAAGCGUUGUUCGGAAUUACUGGGCGUAAAGGGCGCGUAGGCGGCCUGCUAAGUCGGAUGUGAAAUCCCUCGGCUCAACCGAGGAACUGCAUCCGAUACUGGCGGGCUUGAAUCCGGGAGAGGGAUGUGGAAUUCCAGGUGUAGCGGUGAAAUGCGUAGAUAUCUGGAGGAACACCGGUGGCGAAGGCGGCAUCCUGGACCGGUAUUGACGCUGAGGCGCGAAAGCUAGGGGAGCAAACGGG